AGUUCAGAUCGCAGUCUGCAACCCGACUGCGUGAAGUCGGAAUCGCUAGUAAUCGCGGAUCAGCAUGCCGCGGUGAAUACGUUCCCGGGCCUUGUACACACCGCCCGUCACACCAUGAGAGUCGGGAACACCCGAAGUCCGUAGCCUAACCGCAAGGGGGCGCGGCCGAAGGUGGGUUCGAUAAUUGGGGUGAAGUCGUAACAAGGUACC
This 210-nucleotide ribosomal RNA is filed under the name uncultured bacterium. RNAcentral describes it as "partial 16S ribosomal RNA". It matches the Rfam family "Bacterial small subunit ribosomal RNA", at positions 1290 to 1500 of the family's 1533-position model. The record is from RNAcentral.